UUUACUUACCAUGGCUAAGAUUUGUUUUCCUCAAGAGAGACCAUACAUGCACAUUUUGUUCAGAUAAGACUUUUUCUAGCUUUCAGAGUGACUUGCCCUUAACUUGAAGUACUUUAUUCAGGCUUUUUGCACUUUAGAUCUUGCUUGAAGAAAUCACCAACAUUUUUACGUGAAGGUACAUAUUUGUGAUACCCACCCCCAGUUACUCAGUUGGUCACCUUUCCAAGUGGCUACUAGCUCUGUUCAUAGUCUUUUGACCAUUGGAACAAUCUUAGAUUUGUGCUUUUGAGGUCUUUGCCUUUGCUGAAUUUUCUUUCUCUCAAUGAUUUGGGCAAAUCAACACCAAUUGCUAAAUCAAGCCACAUUAAGUUCAUUCACACAACUUUCAAUUUAUUCUCAUCAAUUGAGGGUCAUCAAUAUAUUUUUCACCAUGGCAAGCUCAAAGAUUCAAUUCAAAAGGCAAUUCUCAAACAUGAAUAUAACUCACUGCAAUUGAUUCAACAUAAGUUUAAAGAGUCAUCACAUCAAUGGGGUCAUGGAAAGAAAAGCUCAUCCAACAUAGUUCAUAUGAUGAGUAAAGCAUCUCAAAAACGAAAACAAAAUAAAUAAUAAAAAAAACUGUGGCUAUCUGUGUGUGUUAUUGAAAGCAAAAAUGAAAAAUUUCAACUAAUGCAAGCAAACUAAAAAUCAGAGCAAAAAUAAACUCAAAAAGUAAAAAUUCAGAAAUAUGCACCCCCACACCUAAAUCAUGCA
This 753-nucleotide long non-coding RNA is filed under the name Manihot esculenta (cassava). Its description in RNAcentral is "long non-coding RNA (MESC_LNC002588)". The record is from RNAcentral. Lineage: Eukaryota; Viridiplantae; Streptophyta; Magnoliopsida; Malpighiales; Euphorbiaceae.